Molecule: ribosomal RNA, 487 nt
Filed under: uncultured bacterium
Lineage: Bacteria
Description: bacterial SSU rRNA
Rfam family: Bacterial small subunit ribosomal RNA
Source: RNAcentral
GACGAACGCUGGCGGCGUGCCUAACACAUGCAAGUCGAACGGAGUUAAAUUCGACACCCGAGUAUCCGGCCGGGAGGCGGGGUGCUGGGGGUUGGAUUUAACUUAGUGGCGGACGGGUGAGUAACGCGUGAGUAACCUGCCUUUCAGAGGGGGAUAACGUUCUGAAAAGAACGCUAAUACCGCAUAACAUCAAUUUAUCGCAUGAUAGGUUGAUCAAAGGAGCAAUCCGCUGGAAGAUGGACUCGCGUCCGAUUAGCCAGUUGGCGGGGUAACGGCCCACCAAAGCGACGAUCGGUAGCCGGACUGAGAGGUUGAACGGCCACAUUGGGACUGAGACACGGCCCAGACUCCUACGGGAGGCAGCAGUGGGGGAUAUUGCACAAUGGGGGAAACCCUGAUGCAGCAACGCCGCGUGAGGGAAGAAGGUUUUCGGAUUGUAAACCUCUGUUCUUAGUGACGAUAAUGACGGUAGCUAAGGAGAAAGCUC